Molecule: long non-coding RNA, 450 nt
Filed under: Mytilus galloprovincialis (Mediterranean mussel)
Lineage: Eukaryota; Metazoa; Mollusca; Bivalvia; Mytilida; Mytilidae
Source: RNAcentral
AAAAAAAAAAAACUUAUAUAAACCCUGUUAUUUUACCUUUCGGAUACAUAAAUGAAUAACUGAAUAAUAUCUAUGGUUUCUCUGCAAUGAUCUUGAGCUGAUAUUCAGUAUUUACAAAUAUUUGCUUUGCGUUAUAGUUAAUAGGUCUAUCCAAAUAAUAUAGCAUAAGAUGGACCUAAGCCAGGGAAGCAUGAACAGAAAAGCAUGAAGUUUUAAAAAUGUUUAUGUACUAGUCAACAAAAGAAAUGAUACACAGCUUUGGAAUAAAAUCUAUCAAAAAAUAUUAAAUAUAGAACAAAAUGAGAUACACAAUUUUAAAAAGCGUUCAUUUGCGAUGUAUGCACAUAUGAUAAUGAAAAUUAAAACCUCUCGGAAAGUAACUAAAUUCCGUGUAAACGAUCAUAGGGUGCAUAUUAUUUUUGCGGAAAGUUGGAAAAAAAAUCGACGCAC